UGCCUUAGGGUAAUGUUAAGUCCCUGGCAAUGAACGGGGGAAGGGGAUUUACCUUUUUUCUGCUUGUAUCUUCGUUUGCAGUAGUCUGUUUUAAUACUGAAGUUAUAUUGAAUGAAUGAUAGUACUUGUCAUCCUGUGGAGAUAGCCCCAUGGAGACAGGAGAAUGUGCAGCGAGUAGUGGAAAGAUCAUGCAUGAAAUUUAGUCAGACAGUCCUGCCUUUAACUUAAAGUUCCUCUGGGCAAGUGAUUGUGAUCAAAUUACUUACUAUUUCUGAACUGCAAUUUCUCAUCGGUAAAAUGUAGAUGGUAACAGCUACCCAACUGACCGAAAUUUUGUGGAGAUUAAAUGGGGUGUUUGUGAAACCAUCGAACCCGUUGCCAGAGACCAAGGUCUUGCUCUUUCACCUAGGCUGGAGUGCCGUAGUGUGAUUAUAGCUCACCGCAGCCUUGAACUUCUGGGCUCAAGCUAUAUUUACAUCUCAAUCUACUGAGCACCUGGGACUACAGGCAUGCACCACCACAUCUGGCUAAUUUUUUAAUUUUUAUUUUUUUAGAGAUGGGAUCUUACUUUGUUGCCCAGGCUGAUCUAAAACUCCUGAGUCCAGGCGAUCCUCCCACCUUAUCCUCCCAAGUAGCUGGGAUUACAGCCUUGAGCCUGGCAAUUUUGUCAUUUUAUUUCUAAUAAUUAAAAAAAAUUCCCAAGUUAUUUAAAGGAUAAUUUUCAGGUUUUCCCAAUGAUUACAAUUUUUUGUUCGCUUAUCUGUUAAUUAUUAGCUUCUGAAUUUGUUUAAUUAUAGUCAAUUAGCAUGACCUGUAAAAUACUAACUUUUUAGAAAAAAACAUAUGUGGCCAAGUACAUGAUCCCUAUUUUUAAAUCUCCUAUGGGAAUAAAGAAUAUAUUUUCCUUUUUAGUGUACAUGGUUCUCUUUCUACAUAUCUAUUAAAUCAGGAUUGAUAAUUAUGCUGCCAAAAUGAUGUCUAUACUUGUUCCUUCUUUUGUCUGUUUAAUCUACAAAAUUUGAAGAGUGGUGUUUUGGAUUCUCACUGUGCUUUUUUUUUUUUUUAAUUGAAUUUGCCUUGCAUUUC
Molecule: long non-coding RNA, 1086 nt
Filed under: Papio anubis (olive baboon)
Lineage: Eukaryota; Metazoa; Chordata; Mammalia; Primates; Cercopithecidae
Description: lncRNA (ENSPANG00000042288.1)
Source: RNAcentral